This 659-nucleotide ribosomal RNA is filed under the name Cellulomonas sp. IBUN 1P-FN 05. RNAcentral describes it as "bacterial SSU rRNA". It matches the Rfam family "Bacterial small subunit ribosomal RNA", at positions 54 to 727 of the family's 1533-position model. The record is from RNAcentral. Lineage: Bacteria; Bacillati; Actinomycetota; Actinomycetes; Micrococcales; Cellulomonadaceae.
CAUGCAGUCGACGGUGAAGCCCAGCUUGCUGGGUGGAUCAGUGGCGAACGGGUGAGUAACACGUGAGUAACCUGCCCCUGACUCUGGGAUAAGCCUUGGAAACGAGGUCUAAUACCGGAUACGAGACGCUCGGGCAUCCGAAGUGUCUGGAAAGAUUUAUCGGUCAGGGAUGGACUCGCGGCCUAUCAGCUUGUUGGUGGGGUAGUGGCCCACCAAGGCGACGACGGGUAGCCGGCCUGAGAGGGCGACCGGCCACACUGGGACUGAGACACGGCCCAGACUCCUACGGGAGGCAGCAGUGGGGAAUAUUGCACAAUGGGCGCAAGCCUGAUGCAGCGACGCCGCGUGAGGGAUGAAGGCCUUCGGGUUGUAAACCUCUUUCAGCAGGGAAGAAGCGCAAGUGACGGUACCUGCAGAAGAAGCGCCGGCUAACUACGUGCCAGCAGCCGCGGUAAUACGUAGGGCGCAAGCGUUGUCCGGAAUUAUUGGGCGUAAAGAGCUCGUAGGCGGUUUGUCGCGUCUGCUGUGAAAACUCGAGGCUCAACCUCGGGCUUGCAGUGGGUACGGGCAGACUAGAGUGCGGUAGGGGAGACUGGAAUUCCUGGUGUAGCGGKGGAAUGCGCAGAUAUCAGGAGGAACNCCGAUGGCGAAGGCAGGUC